AAUAAUCAUAAAAAAUAUAAUAGACUUCCCAAAAUACCCUCCAUUUUCCCUUUUUUCUUCCUCCAAUUUCCUAGCCAACAACAACAUAUAUCCAGAUUUUCUACUACUCUCCACCAUUGCUUGCAUUGCUUCGAUCGAAACCUCAAAUGCUUCGAAUCGAAGCAGAGCUACUCCAAUUCUUCAAUUCGAAGCACAGGGGCAUCGAUCGUAGCCUUGCUGCAUCGAUUUGAAGCUUAGAGGCUUCGAUGGAAGCCACCGUGCUUCGAUCUGAAGACUGAAGACUGCUUCUAGGGUUCUUCGGUCAAGAAUGGCAGUGCGAUUGUUGGUCGCGGGGCUGGCGCAGCGCUGCUGGUGGCAAUGGCGAUAGCGAUGGCUAAUGGAGGGCCUACAGGCAAUAACAGCGAAGGUGCAUGCAGAAGGAAGAUAACGGGCCAUCAUACGUUCACAAAUUCUUCCAUGUUCGUUCCUUAAAAGUGGGAAGUAGACCUGAUCCCGGCCCAGAUGGUGAAGCAUGUAAGCCUAUGAGACCCGACUCUCGAUCUGGGCCAGAAGCCCUGAUGCAGAACCAUCUUGUACCAGUUGAGGUUGACGAUCAAAUUAGGACCUCAACUUGAGGAGGACAAUCAACUUUUAGACUAUGUUUGGACUUCCGGAUUAUCUCGAAAUGAUCAUUCCAGAUGGAUCCUGCAGGAGCAAACAGUCUGCAUAACGAGUUCUGAUCUAGAAGGUGAAGCAUUGGCUUAGUUAAUCCUGAGAGCUCUUUCGCAUUGUUCAUCCAAUGGCCAUGGAACCAAGCAGUUCCGUUCAGUGUACAGACAAGUUGCAUCGGCACACACAUAUUACAAGAAUCACUACUUACAAUUUCUACAAAAAUAUACUGUGCUAUCCCCACCCCAUCUGAACCCCAAAAGAAUAGCCCUACUGUGUAUGUAACAGCUCCAUGCUGGCUUAUUUGAGCAAAACUCUGAUCCCGUUCGUCAACCACCUAUAAGCAAAAAAAAAAAAA
Non-coding RNA from Punica granatum (pomegranate), 1006 nucleotides. Lineage: Eukaryota; Viridiplantae; Streptophyta; Magnoliopsida; Myrtales; Lythraceae. The record is from RefSeq and is a predicted model, not a curated record.